This 558-nucleotide ribosomal RNA is filed under the name uncultured bacterium. Its description in RNAcentral is "bacterial SSU rRNA". It matches the Rfam family "Bacterial small subunit ribosomal RNA", at positions 777 to 1343 of the family's 1533-position model. The record is from RNAcentral.
AAUAGAUACCCCGGUAGUCCACGCCGUAAACGAUGGAUGCUAGCUAUUGGGGGGAAUCGACCCCCUCCGAAGCGAAGCUAACGCGUUAAGCAUCCCGCCUGAGUAGUACGAGCGCAAGCUUAAAACUCAAAGGAAUUGACGGGGACCCGCACAAGCGGUGGAGCGUGUGGUUUAAUUCGAUGGUAAACGAAGAACCUUACCAAGGUUUGACAUCCCGGUAGCCGUUCUCCGAAAGGAGAAUUUCAUUUAGUUGGACCGGUGACAGGUGAUGCAUGGCCGUCGUCAGCUCGUGUCGUGAGAUGUUGGGUUAAGUCCCGCAACGAGCGCAACCCUUAUGAUUUAGUUGGAUUUUUACUAAACAGACUGCCCUGGUAACAGGGAGGAAGGAGGGGAUGAUGUCAGGUCAGUAUUUCCCUUACACCUUGGGCGACACACGCGCUACAAUGGCCGGUACAAUGGGCAGCUAAGCCGCGAGGUGGAGCAAAUCCCAUCAAAGCCGGUCCCAGUUCGGAUUGCAGGCUGAAACCCGCCUGCAUGAAGCCGGAAUCGCUAGUAACC